Molecule: RNA transcript, 1218 nt
Organism: Amborella trichopoda
Lineage: Eukaryota; Viridiplantae; Streptophyta; Magnoliopsida; Amborellales; Amborellaceae
Source: RefSeq, a predicted model, not a curated record
GGCUUCCCAUUAGGUUGCCAGUGACUUUCCUUUGCCUCUCUCUCUCUAAAAAGCCCUUUUGCUCCCGCUCUCUGUAACUUUCCUCUGCCUGUCUUCCUCAAAAAUACUUCUUUGAAAAAACCCAUUUGCUCCGCUCUUUGUGAAACUCUCUACCUCACGAGAGUGUUUUCCUCUGCCUCUCUCUCUAAACGCUUCACAGCAGCGCUGCGCUUUGAAAAUUUCCAAAACCCUUUUGUCCCCCGUACUUGACCUGCACAUUUGCACCUAGAAAGUCGGGGCUGCAUUUUAUAUCUCCUCAGGGGGAAUAAGAGACUUUCUCUCUCUACGAAAUCGAUGAGGCAGCUGCUAAAGGGCAGCUUGUUUAAGGAGUUGACAGAGCCUGGUUUUGGGCACAAUCGACGUAUCUCUUCUUCAUCAACCAAACCCAUUAGGGAUGCUCUCUUUCCAGGAGAUGGAAUUGGGUUUUCUCUGCUGCCCAAGUGCCCUAAGUGGGAAGAGCACUAUGUAGGGGACAAAGUUGAUCCUUGGACAGGGAGUUUCCUGACAUGGGAAAGUUUGGAAUCAGUCAGAAGAAACGAUGUUGGCUUGAAGGUCCCAUGGCUACACCAAUUGGGAAGGGCCAUAGGUCAUUGAGCCUUACUCUGCGUAAGGAGCUUGGUUUGUAUGAUAAUGUCAGACCUUGCUACAGCCUUCUUGGCUACAAAACUCGAUAUGACGAUGUCAACCUUGUGACUAUUCGUGAAAACACCAAAGGAGAGUAUAGUGGCCUGGAACAUCAAUGUUGUCGUGAGGUUGCAAAGAAGUACCCUAAAAUUGCCUAUGAGGAGGUCAUAAUUGAUAACUGAUGUAUGAUGGUAUUCUCUAAGGGGAAUACGUAAACAUUUUGUUCUUUCUCAUAGCAUUUGUACUCCCUUUUUUUGACAAUGUAUACAAUGAGCACAUGAGGUUUCCUGCAGUUGUUUCUUUAUCAAAAGUUCCCUCACGGUGGGGUUCUCCCCAACAUAAAUCAUGUCCCUCUUCCGAAGAUGUCUCACAAGCCUGAAAUCCAAGAGCCCAAGAUACCAGAGUCCCCCGCAAACUGCUUGAUUCUUCACCUUCUUGGAAUGUAAAAAUGUGAAUCGAGUGUAAAAAUGUGAAUUGUAUAGAACAAAAUGUGUAAAAAUGUGAAUUGGUAAUGUGAAACAUUAUUUCAUUAAUUAUUGGAGAAUUUGUAUUUAA